Molecule: ribosomal RNA, 709 nt
Filed under: Staphylococcus aureus
Lineage: Bacteria; Bacillati; Bacillota; Bacilli; Caryophanales; Staphylococcaceae
Description: bacterial SSU rRNA
Rfam family: Bacterial small subunit ribosomal RNA
Source: RNAcentral
UUUAUGGAGAGUUUGAUCCUGGCUCAGGAUGAACGCUGGCGGCGUGCCUAAUACAUGCAAGUCGAGCGAACGGACGAGAAGCUUGCUUCUCUGAUGUUAGCGGCGGACGGGUGAGUAACACGUGGAUAACCUACCUAUAAGACUGGGAUAACUUCGGGAAACCGGAGCUAAUACCGGAUAAUAUUUUGAACCGCAUGGUUCAAAAGUGAAAGACGGUCUUGCUGUCACUUAUAGAUGGAUCCGCGCUGCAUUAGCUAGUUGGUAAGGUAACGGCUUACCAAGGCAACGAUGCAUAGCCGACCUGAGAGGGUGAUCGGCCACACUGGAACUGAGACACGGUCCAGACUCCUACGGGAGGCAGCAGUAGGGAAUCUUCCGCAAUGGGCGAAAGCCUGACGGAGCAACGCCGCGUGAGUGAUGAAGGUCUUCGGAUCGUAAAACUCUGUUAUUAGGGAAGAACAUAUGUGUAAGUAACUGUGCACAUCUUGACGGUACCUAAUCAGAAAGCCACGGCUAACUACGUGCCAGCAGCCGCGGUAAUACGUAGGUGGCAAGCGUUAUCCGGAAUUAUUGGGCGUAAAGCGCGCGUAGGCGGUUUUUUAAGUCUGAUGUGAAAGCCCACGGCUCAACCGUGGAGGGUCAUUGGAAACUGGAAAACUUGAGUGCAGAAGAGGAAAGUGGAAUUCCAUGUGUAGCGGUGAAAUGCGCA